AAAAAUAGGGACUGGUUUCCUUCUCACUUCCUCAAUCGAGAUGUGACAUCGAUGAACAAAUCCUCACUGCAGGGAAUAGUCACACCACCCAUUGGAUGGUCGAAGCCAAAUUCUUCCUCAGCUUGACUAAGCAAGUCUUGAAAUAAAGGUUCGCUCAAGAAUGAUAUGGGGAUCAUGAAUCUCUUUUUCUGCAUCUCCCCAACAUACACAGCAAAAUGGCCCUUGGGAAUAUCUCUGGUUGCGGAAGACUUCUUGAUCAUACGAAGAAUAGCCAUGAUGAUUUAGUUUUAGUAUAGAUAAGAAAGGUAAAAGAAAUACAAAGGAACUCAAAAGCAGAGAAAGUUUUGAUGUUUGCUGAGAGCUGUUGUGGAAGAUACCACUUUGGAUGUUUAUAUAGGCAAUAUCGACUCAUUCUGAUGUAUUUUGAGUAGGAAUUUGUGGGCACCAGCAGAAGACAAUGUCACUGAAGUAUCACAUGCUCUUGCCUUCCAAGUAUUGAAAACUUUGUGGUAUUAGUUGAAGAACAAUAGGCCCUACAUUUUUUUGAAUCUUGGAAAGAAGCAUUAUUCAUUAUAGAAUUUUUGAGAAGUCAUAAAGUUCAUGAUUCUGGUGAAGAGCCAUUUGGAUUGGACAUCAGUUAAAGACGAUGAUAUAUCAGUAAUCACAUGGCCCUGCCUUCCAGCUAGUUGACAUGAGUAAUUGCUUUAGCUCAUCAGAUCAAGUUCAAUAGGUCCUGCAUAUAUUUUCCUAUAGGGAACCAAGGAUCUCUAAGAAUCAAAUCCAUAAAAAUUGCUGGUAGCCUAUGAUGCAAACUGUGUCCACUUAUAUACAAACUAUAAGAGAAAAGAAGUCAAAAAUAUGAAAGAUUUCACUGGUGGAGAGGUAUUUGUUGCACUGUUUAUUGACAAUAGCACAUGAAGCAUCACAUGGUGUUGUUGCCCAACUCAUUGUCUAAUAUAUAUGAUCUUAGCAAAUUGCUCAUGAAUAUCAUCAGACCCCAGUGUUUUUCAUGACAAGAUAGAGAACAGACUAUCUUUAGAGAUCAAAUUGAUAAUUUACUGCAAUAGUUGACAACUUGUGGGAUCAACAUUCCGGAUGAGAAUAACCCAUGGUAUUUCAAUAGUUUUUGACAAGUGUUUUCAAAUAGUAGAUAACAGAAAUGUUUAUUGACUAUCAAUAUGUCUAUGUUUUGCAUAUCCAUCAAAUUAUGAGUCAGUCAGAACCUUACUAUUGCCAGAAAUUUGAAUCCAUAUUCAAGAAAAGUAUAGAUAUUAUAUCUUAUUAAGAGUUGAUGAAUUUACAUCCAUUUUCUAUCUCAUUCAGUUAAACUCAGUAAUUUCACAUUACUGCAGAAUAUCAGAUCUAGUACAUAUUGAGUUAUUUGUACAUUGUACGACGGAUGCUGCCAAGUGCAUCUAAUUUAUUUGGAACCCCAAAGUGUAAUUAUUACCAAUAGAAUGAAUUGUGCCACUAAAGAAUGAAUUGAGAAAACCAUGAGAGUUGAGCAAAAAAUUUCUAUUGCAAUGAAUUGAUUACAUCAAUGUAUGGAAGUAAAAUGUUUCAUUACUUCAAUUACUUUUGAAGUAGAAAAAUGUGUCCUUAGUCUACCUAGUGUUUCUUAUAACUCUCAACUGUACACAGUGGAGUUCCUGGCUUACUACAACUAUACAAAAUUGAGUUAACAAAAAAAUAGGGACUGGUUUCCUUCUCACAUUCUCAAUCGAGAUGUGACAUCGAUGAACAAAUCCUCACUGCAGGGAAUAGUCACACCACCCAUUGGAUGGUCGAAGCCAAAUUCUUCCUCAGCUUGACUAAGCAAGUCUUGAAAUAAAGGUUCGCUCAAGAAUGAUAUGGGGAUCACAAAUCUCUUUUUCUGCAUCUCCCCAACAUACACAGCAAAAUGGCCCUUGGGAAUAUCUCUGGUUGCGGAAGGCUUCUUGAUCAUACGAAGAAUAGCCAUGAUGAUUUAGUUUUAGUAUAGAUAAGAAAGGUAAAAGAAUUACAAGGAACUCAAAAGCAGAGAAAGUUUUGAUGUUUGCUGAGAGCUGUGGUAGUAGAUAUCUCUUUGGAUAUGUUUAUAUAGACAAUGGAAACUCAUACCGAUGUGGUGUUGAAUAAGAAAUUGUGGGCACCAGCAAAAGACAAUCUCACUGAAGUAUCACAUGCUCUUGCCUUCCAAGUAUUGAAAACUUUGUGGUAUUAGUUAAAGAACAAUAGGCCCUACCUUAUUUUGAAACUUGGAUAGAAGCAUAAUUCAUUAUAGAAUUUUUGAGAAGCUAUGACCUGGAACAUGGACCACUAACAUGAAAAACAUAACCACAUUGGGAAACAUAAAAUUUCAUUAAUUAAUAUCCCAAAACAACAAGUAACAUGAGAGAGGUCAAACUCUUCCCAUCUUUGGACUUGAAAGGCUUUAGUUAUCAAGGAUUACAGGCCCUACCUUUUCUUUGAACUUAAAGAGCAAAGUAUCCCUCACAACCAAAUAGCUAAACAAGUAUUGUCUAGGUACACAUCAAAUUUUGUAUGUUGACAUGUUUUUGUUGUAAGCAUUAUUCCUGAGAAAACAAAAAUAGUUUAUAUGGCCAUAAGCUUCCAAUUCCAAGUGCUUCCUAGCAUAGGUUUAUAACUUUUCAUUAAUCAUUAUGGCUCUAAUUGGUUGAAAAGAAUUUGUAUAUGGAGUCUUAGGAAGUGGUUCUAAGAUCUUAAAAUUGUUGUUGUGAUAUCUCAACAUCACAUUCUCACUUACCAUUCUACUUGUCAUUAAACAAAUAUACAAAGCAAAAGACCAUCAAUAGGCACCUGAUGGAUAUCAUAUGGUUUUACCUUCUAUGUCCUUUUGGGCACUGCUUAUGAUUUGUGAUAUAGUCCUAUUUUCAUGACCAUACAUAAAAAAAGUGAAAAACCAAGUUGAGAAGAGGAAAGAGGAUAAAGGUGAAUUUUUGCGUUGAUCUACAUUGUAGACUCUACAACUAUUUGAAGUAAGUAAAACACAUAAAGCUAUGGUUUGGAUUCAAUAACUUGCAAACAAAUAUUAUUAGUUACUUCUACACAGGCCUCUCUUAGAGAACCAUAGAGUAAAUACAGUUGUGCUAAGGCCUCUCUUAGAGAACCAUAGAGUAAAUACAGUUGUGCUAAUCGAUGCUUUUAGAAACAAGUUGGCAUAGAUAUAUGCAAUGUUUUCUUCUCAUAUCAUAAGUCAUUUGAUCAAAUGGUUGGACCAACUUUGCAGAUCAGAAUUGUCCUGAGUUUUUCAGCUGCUCGAGCGAAAUUCUAAUAAAUCAUCAAACCAGUAUUGAUUUUUCAGAAGAGAAGAAAUAGAAAAUGUCUAAUGAAGUGUGAAGUUGUGAACUAUGAAUGUGACUUCUUCGAUAUUUUGAAAUUUCUUCUGCUGAUUUCAUUUCUUUGGCUGCGCCAAAUAUAUUUCAGUGUUCAGGAUAAGGUCACAGAUGAGUUUUCUUUAGAGUUAAUUAACAUAGACUUCAGCACUUUCGAAGGUCCAAUUCCUAUGUUAUGGAAAGAACAGUCAUGUAAAGAAAUUUGUUGAACAGAAAUAAUAAUACCAAAUUGGAUACUGAAUGAGUCUGAACUGAUUUCAUUUGCUAAACUACUGAAAAUUGUAUUCAAAAUUGGGAUCUAUAGAUCCAGCUGACAGUAGUGAGAAGUAACAAUGUGUGUUUCCUAAUUCCUCUUAUGUACAAACUAAAAAUCCUAUUCUUUACAAAACUGUGAAAAUAAAAGCCUCAGAUCCUAUUCAAGCGAGAAGUAAGAUCAACGAACACAUCUUCACUGCAGGGUAUUGUUACACCACCCAUUGGAUGAUCGAAGCCAAAUUCUUCCUCAGCUUGACUAAGCAAGUCUUGAAAUAAAGGUUGGCUCAAGAAUGAAAUGGGGAUUACAAAUCUCUUCUUUUGUUUCUCCCCAACAUAAACAGCAAAGUGGCCUUCAGGAACAUCUGCGACUGUAGAGGACUUGAUUAUACGAGGCAUACGGAUAGCCAUGGUCUUUUAGUUCAAUAUAGACGAGGAAAUAAGGAAGGGAAGAAUUUGUAAGGACUCUGAAAGCACAGAUAAGCUUUGUAUAAUUUGAAGUUUUGGUCAGAGCUGUUAUGGUAAACCCUUCUUUAUAUUUGUUUAUAUAGGCCAAUGACAAGUUGUCAAACCCCACUGAUGUCUGAAUAGCCAUUUUGUGGACACCAGCUAAAGACAGUAGCACCUGAAGUAUCACAUGGUUUUGCCUUCCAACUCAUUGUCAUAAUAUUAAUGCAAACUCUCAUGUCCACUUAUAUAAAAACUAUAAGAGAAAACAAAUCAAUCAUAUAGAAGAUUCAACUGGUGGAGAGGCAUUUGUAGUAAUGUUGAUUGACAAUAGCACAUGGUUUUGCUACUCAACUCAGUGUCAAGUAUAUAUGAUCUUAGUCAUUGCACUUCAAUAUUAGCAGUCCCUUGUUUUUCAGGACAAGAUAGAGAACUGAAGAUUUUUAGAAAUCAAUAUGCUAACAUUGAGUCAUUGUCAACAGCAGGAUUUUAUGAGUUUGAUCAGAAUGAUAAUAACAGGUAAAAUUUACUACCAUCUGACCAUUUGCGUAGUCCCUCAAGCUAAGUCAUUAUGUAGGAACAACUUUCCUGAUUAAAAUAAACCAACCCAUUUCAAUAGAUUUUUUCUACAUGUUUCCAAAUAGUAGAGAAUACUAUAUAUUCUUUACUGGCUAUCUCUGUCCAUGUUAUGCGAAUCUCCAUCAAAUUAUUAGUCAGUCAACACCUUAUUAUUGCUACAAAUUCGAAUUUCAUAUUCAAAAGUACAGAUACUAUUUCUUAUGAAGAGUUCAUAAAGUGUAAUUAUCAUUUUUACCAAUUGAAUGAGGUAUGCCACUUAAGAGGACUAGAUUGUAGUUCUUUCUGAUUACCAAACCAUUAGAGUUGAGCAAACAAUUUCUAGUGCAAUGAAUUGAUUACAUCAAUGUAUGGAAGUAAAAAGUUUCAUUACUUCAAUUUCUUUUGAAGUAGAAAAAUGUGUCCUAGUCUAGCUAUUGUUUCUUCUAACUCUCAACUGUACACAGUGGAGUUCCUGGCUUACUAACAACUAUACAAAAUUGUGUAACAAAAAAAUGGGGACUAGUUUCCUUCUCACUUCCUCAAUCGAAAUGUGAGAUCCAUGAACAAAUCCUCACUGCAGGGAAUAGUAACACCGCCCAUCGGAUGUUCGAAGCCAAAUUCAUCCUCGGCUUGACUAAGCAAGUCUUGAAACAAAGGUUCGCUCAAGAAUGAUAUUGGAAUUACAAAUCUCUUUUUCUGCAUCUCUCCAACAUACACAGCAAAAUGGCCCUUGGGAAUAUCUCUAGUUGCGGAAUACUUCUUGAUCAUACGGAGAAUAGCCAUGAUCUCUUAGUUUUAGUAUAGAUGAAAAAAAAAGGACUGUUGAGGGAACUCAAAAGCAGAGAAAACGUUGAUGUUUACUCAGUGUUGUGGUGGUAGAUACCUCUUUGGAUAUAUUUAUAUAGGAAAUGGCAACUCAUAUUGAUGUGAAUUGAUUAGGAAUUUGCGGGCUCCAGCAGAAGACAAUGGCACUCAAGUAUCACAUGCUCUUGCCUUCCAAGUAUUGAAAACAUUGUGGUAUUAGUUGACUAACAAUAGGCCCUACCUUUUUUGAAAACUUGGAAAGUAGCGUUAUACAUUACAUAAUUUUUAAGAAGUGAUGAGAAGUCGAUAACCUCUUGAUAUGUGAUGAAGAGCCAUUUGGAUUGGGCAUCACAUGGUCAUGCCUUCCAACUAGUUGACAUGAUUAAUUGUUUUAGCUCAUAUUAGAUCAAGUUCUAUAGGUCCUACAUAUAUUUUCCUAUAGGGAACAAAGGAUCUCUAAGAAUCAAGUCCAUUAAUAUUGCUGGCAGCUUGUGUUGAUUUCAAGGAAUAAAACAUACCCCAGAUGCAAACUUUGUAUCCACUUAUAUACAAAAUAUAUGAGUAAAAUAUGAAAAAUUACACUGGUUGACACUGUUUAUUGAUAACAGAAAUGUUUAUGGGCUUUCAACAUGUCUGUGUUUGCAAAUCUCCAUAAAAUUAUGAGUCGGUCAAAAAGAAGACGACUGGACUGAGGAGAAGGAGAAGAGGCAGCACAGAAUUGAGAGGAAACUGAAAAAGAAGUCGACUUUCAUGAAGAUAGUAGAAAAGAGGAAGUGAGGGUAACUGAACACUCCCCAACCCUAGAAGAUAGUGCCAUGCAAGUUUCAGCUAUGUUGAGAAGUGAUUAUAACAUCUACGGGUUGACAACAAUUGAAGAUGCAGUACCUUUAAACCAACAUAACCCAGGGGAAGGGGAGGUCCGAAUUUUGAUAUUCCUAAAUGGAUUCAUCAGAACAUUAUCAAAUUUGCCAAAGAAUUUGGUGUCGACAUCACGGGGUGCAAAGAGGAACUAAACAUGAGAAAAAAAAAUUCGACAAUGAAGAAACGAACAGGAGAAUGACCUCAGAAACAAGGGAGCAAAGAAUGAAUCUCGAGUGCGGAAGUAAUUUCAGAAGCAAAGGCACAAGAAGGGGGGUGGGGGUGGGCUACAGAUCAGCAAAUGCUCAUAGAAGAUAUAACAAUAUUGAUGAAUUAAUGGUGGAUGGGGAAGCAACCCAAAAACCAGAAGUUAUAAAGAAGGAGAUUGAGGAGUUCUAUUAAAGAAUAUAUACUGAAACUGAGACAUGGAGGCCAGCUGGAGGAUGCAGGGCAGACCACAGAGCACAGAGUUUCUAUUGAAGACAAUCAUUCUAUGUAAGCUAGAUAUACAAAAAGCUUAUGACCACCUCAAUAGGAUUUGGAGGUAGAUGGAUAAGAUGGAUGAAGUUCUGCAAAAGCACCGUCAAAUUCUCUGUCCUUAUCAAUCAAUGGCUCCCCUACAGGUGAGCCUUCUCCUCACAGAGAGGUCUAAGGCAAGGAGACCCAUUAUCUCCUUUUCUCUUCAUCAUUGCCAUGGGAAGUCUUAAUGAUAUGUUGAGAAUUGCUCAAGAAAAUAGCUGGUUGAAGGGAUUCAAAGCUGCACACAGGGAAGGCGCAAACUUGGAGAUACUCAUUCGCUUUGCAGUACGCUGAUGAUACAUUUAUCUUUUGUGAGGCUAUUAAGAACCAACCCAUGAUUCUCAAGGUCAUUUUUGUUCUUUUUGAAGCAAUCCUACGAUCACACAUCAACUGGAAUAAGAGCUUCAUAUAUCCAGUUAAUGAGGUUUCUAACCUAACCUAAUUGGCUGGGGUCCUUGGUGGAAGUAUUGGGAAGCUACCAACUGUCUACUUGGGCAUGCCUCUGGGUGAUCAGAAUAUGUCUAUAGAUAUAUGGAAUGGGGUGGUAAAGAACUGCGAGAAGAGGUUGGUAAACUGAAAAAGUCAAUAUCUCUCCUUAGGAGGAAGACUAGCACUAAUCAAUAGUGUUUUGGACUCUAUACCUACCUAUAUGAUGUCCCUCUUCCCUAUCCCUGAUGGGGUCAUUGAGAGAUUGGAUGUUCUAAGAAGAAAUUCAGUGAAACCAAGAAGUUCCACUUGGUGAAAUGGGAUGCACUGAUUGGAAGUGAACAAAAAGGGGGUAUGGGGGUGAGGAACUUAAAAACUCAGAACCAAUGUCUUAUGAUGAAAUGGCUCUGGAUAAUUGCUUCUAGGGAGUCAGCUCUCUGGAAAGAAGUUAUCCAGCUGAAGUAUGAAAUGGCAGAUCAUUGGACCACCAGAAUGGUCACCGAUACUUAUGGGAUCAACCUUUGGAGAUCCAUCAGAAACCUGUGGCCAAAGCUUAGAGAAAAUUGCAGCAUAAGAACAGAAGAUGGCAGGAAGGUACUUUUCUAGGAAUACAAGUGGUUACAUCAAGCCCCCCUAAGGGACACCUUCAAUGAUAUUUACACCCUAACCAACAACAAAGGGCCAGUGUGGAUGAUGUCUAGUCUAACCAGGGAUGAAUUUGAGCUUUAGAAGACCUUUUAAUGACUAGGAGAUUUUGAGGUUAGUUGAGUUCUACAGCAAAUUGGAGCAAUUCAAAGGAACCUUCACUGACCAAGAUAGAUUGGAGUGGAAGGGCCACAGUCAAGGUAGUUUCAGUAUGAAAGGGGCCUAAAAAAAAUUUAACCCUAAUAAUUAUCAGAUUGAGGACUGGCCUUGGAAGCUUAUAUGGAAAGUCAAAAUUUCUUAUGAAGUUUCCUGCUUCACUUGGCUUGUGGCCAAACAAGCUGUUUUAACCCAAGAAAACCUCAUGAAAAGGGGGAUACAUCUAAGUCCAAGGUGUUUUUUUUGGGAAGAAAAGGCUGAGACUGUAACCCACCUUUUUUGUACACUACAGGAUUACCCGUCAACUAUGGGAAAUAUUCCCAAGUAAGAAAGGCCUGAAUUGGGUAAUGCCAAGGAAAAUAAAUCAGACUUUGAAGAUCUGGAGCAGUUAUGCUAGCAUGUCAGACCAUAAGGAUAGGUGGAAAAUUGCACCAGCUUGAAUUUGGUGGGCUGCUUGGCGAUGAAGAUGAAGUGUUUAGUUUUGUUUCACUUUUGGUGUAAACAGGAGUAUAGGGAAGAUCUAGAAUCAAUUAAAGAUGUCUUAGGAUUAUUGUAAUUUUUUGUUGAAAGGGUUGAAGUUCUUCUAGAUACUCCCCUCCUCAAUUGUAAUUAGGAAACCUGUAACUUGUCGUGGCAGGUUUCUGUUUUUGUGGAAAUAGAAUACAAGUCGUUACCUUCUCAAAAAAAAAAAGUAUAAACAUGAAAUACAAAUUAUUAAGAGUUAAUCAAUUUACAUCCAGUUCUAUUGGAUUGAGUUUAACUCAGUACUUUCACAUUGCUGCAGAAUGGCAGAUCUAGUACAUCUUGAGUUACACUUCAUUGUAUGAUGAAUGUGUAUUUUAACUUCAUUUUGACCACAAAGUAUAAUUCUUACCAGCGGAAUGAGUUGUGGCACUUUAGAAGACUAGAUUCUGACUACAAAACGACGAGAGUUGAGCAAAAAGUUUCUAUUGCAAUGAAUUGUUUACAUCGAUGUAUGGCACAGAAUGAAACCAUGUAAGUAAAAAGUUUCAUUACUUCAAUUUCUUUUGAAGUAGAAAAAUGUUUCCUUAGUCUAACUAGUGUUUCUUCUAACUCUGAACUGUACAGUGUCUAUCCUGGUUUACUACAACUAUACAAAAUUAUGUAACUAAAAAAAUGGGGACUGGUUUCCUUCUCACUUCCGCAAUCGAGAUGUGAGAUCGAUGAACAAAUCCUCGCUGCAGGGAAUAGUCACACCACCCAUUGGAUGGUCGAAGCCAAAUUCUUCCUCAGAUUGACUAAGCAAGUCUUGAAAUAAAGGUUCGCUCAAGAAUGAUAUCGGGAUCACAAAUCUCUUCUUCUGCAUCUCCCCAACAUACACAGCAAAAUGACCCUUGGGAAUAUCUCUAGUUGCAGAAGACUUCUUGAUCAUACGAAGAAUAGCCAUGAUCUCUUAGUUUUAGUAUAGGUGAGAAAAAAGGAAGGAUUGUAAGGUUACCAAAAAGCAGAGAAAGCUUUGAUGUUUGCUGAGUGUUGUGGUGGUAGAUACCUCAUUAGAUAUGUUUAUAUAGGAAAUGGCAACUCAUAUUGAUGUGUGUUGAAUAGGAAUGUGUGGGUACCAGCAGAAGACAAUGGCACUGUAGUAUCACAUGCUCUUGCCUUCCAAGUAUUGAAAACUAUGUGGUAUUAGUUAAACAACAAUAGGCCCCACCUUAUUUUGAAACAUGGAAAGAGCCAUUUGGAUUGGACAUCAGUACAAGACAAUGAUAUAUUAGCAAUCACAUGGUCCUGCCCUCCAGCUAGUUUGACAUGAUUAAUUACUUUGGCAUAUAUAAGUUCAAGUUCAAUCGGUCCUACAUAUAUUUUCCUAUAGGGAACAAAGGAUCUCUAAGAAUCAAAUCCACAUAUAUUGCUGGUAGCUUAUGAGGAUAUCUAGGAAUUAACCAUACCCCAGAUGCAAACUGUGUCUACUUAUAUAAAAAGGAUAAGAGAUAAAAAGUUGGCUUAUUAAAAUUCCGAGACAGUUGGUCAAAAUCAGAUGAUCAAAUAGAAACAGGGGGAAUAUUAUAUAUGCAAGAACAAUCCAUUGAUUAAUAGUUGGCUCCCUAAGUACAUUUGGUAACUAAUGUGAAUAUUACCAUAACCAACAAACACAAAGUAACAAAUACACCUAAAAAAAGCUUCUAAUCACAUAACCACCUUCUAGAAAGGGUGCAAUGAGAAAAUAGGCCUUCAAAAUAAAGCUAAUUACAAAUAAGCCUCUGAAUCAAACUGCUACAACUACGACCUUUUCUCCCUAUUUAUAAUAGAUCUAAUCUUUCCACGAUAUCCUUCUUAAUCUGUAACACAACUGUUCCAGUUUGAACAUUCAUGUGCUAGAAUGUAGUCCAGUUCCUAGCCUUCCAAGUAAAUAAUCUUGUUUGUUAUCUUUUACAAGUACAUUGGUUUCUUCAUAAACAAACAUAAAUAAGUUGGGAUCUUCCUCCAUAAAUAGCAUCCCAUCUCUAUAUCCCUAACACAACUAUUAGUACUUUUUUAGUAGCAUUAAGCUCUCAAAUUUCUUCAAGAAAACAUACAAAAAUGGCCAUCAGAAAAUCAAAUAACUUAAUCACAAGCUGCAGUUUUAAAGCAAAAUUAUGAAUAGGUAUUCAAAUUUGGGUAUGCUGAGAUUUAUUUGCUAAUGAGUCCAACCAACGACCCGACCCCUAAGAGAAACAAUCAUUUAAAGUAAAUAAAUUAUAAGAUCAGAACAUAAGCAAGAUAAGUGAAAGAGACUAUGGGUCCUAGGGAACUUAAAAAGACACAUGGUGAUCUCUAAUGCUUUUAUGAUUGAAUGCAGUCUGGGAUAAUCUUGAAAAAAAGGUGAAAGAAAUGACACUAAUUAACUUCAACAUGCACUAGAAAAAUUUAGCUCUUAUUCAGGUCAGGAACAAAUGGCAGGAAUUACCUUCUUUGGACUCCCCAUCGUGUGAAGUUGUGCACUCUCCUCAAGCUUGUACUUCAUUAUACCAAAUGCUAACUAGUUUCAUUGGAAACACCAGGUCGUGUGAGUUACUAAAAUAUCUGAUUGAGAUAAUAUCAGAAAGAGAACUAACCCUUCCAUGAACGUUGAUAACAUGACCUUUCAUCAGAGAAUACACCGUCACCACAACUUGGGGUGGAGGAUUUACCAAAUUGAUGGUAUGACUGCUGUGGAAACUCCAAGCAGAUAGCUUCUGCAAAAUGAUGCAGUCUCCUUACAGCUCUAGUUUCUGCACGAUGGAAACGAACAUUAAUUAGUUGCCCACAUUUCCUGUCAUCAUUGAUCAUUAAUACAAACAAGCACUCAAGGACAAAUUACCUGGCAUGAGUGGCACAUAACGAAAAGUCUUGAUACUUUUAUUUGCUGCUGCUGUUCUUGAAGACUAGCUUGUGGCAAAGAAUUUCUUGCCCGAGGAGCUGAAAUGACUCCUCCUACUCUUCUCCAUCAUUAUAAUCUCAUCUGUUUUACCUUGAUUUCCAGCAUGAAUCCAUUUAUGCGAGUUCCCAUCCCAUCCUAGAGGAGAGCAUAGCUUGUGGUAUCAAAAUAAUAAUUAAGAUUUUCUUCACUAUGAGAAUGUAUAUGUGACAAAUCAUCACCAUUAUAAUAGAAUUCAGAAGGAUCUGAACUAUUAACGUCACCCGAUCAAGUCCCCUACACUGUACAUAUCAUCUGUAGAACUAGCACUAAAAUUGAGAUGCUGAGAUUUAUAUUUGCUAAUGAGUCCAACCAAACAAUCCCUAAGAGGAACAAUUGCUUAAAGUAAGUGCAUUUUAAAGAAAUUUAUGAAAAACCAAGACUGAUCAUAUGGACUAUGCAAAGGCCAUAUAGACAUUAUCAAUCAUAAGUGUUGUGUUCCCACAAUCAGAAUAAACUUCUUAUCAACCUGUUGGGGGAACUUUGACACCCUCCAGACAGUUUUUAUCAAUUGUAUCAGUAACCAAUGAAUCGCCAACAAAAUGCAAGACACCAGAAGUGACAUUGAGUAUAGUAUCCAGAUUCUUAGGAUUCUCUGUUCCAGAACCACUCUGCAUCUCAUACUCGAGGAGCGGCCCGUUGGUUCACCAAAGCCCGACCCAGUGUCGCACAUUCUCCAAAAGGUAAAGGUUCUAUCAUCUUGUCCAUAUAGUCAAGGUACUCAACUGUAGUCUUUGGACGGAAGUCCCUCCAUUUUGUCCCAGAAUCUAAGGAACUUUGAAUAAACAUAAGCAAGAUAUAAUUUGAAAGAGACUCUGUGGCCUAAGAGACUUAGAAAGAGACAUAAUCUGAAAUGCUUUCAUGAUUAAUAAGAAUGCAAUCUAAGAUAAUUUUGAGAAGUGGAUGAAAGAAAUGAAGCUCAUUAACUAAAACAUGCACAAGAAAAUUCAGCUCUUAUCAACAAUUUACCUUCUUUUAACUCCCCAUCGCGUGUACUUGUGCAAUCCACUUGAAUUUGUAAUAUUCUAUUCCAGAUGUUAACAAAUUUCAAUUUAACACUUGGCCUGAAGAGAAAAAUAUCAGGUCGUGUGAGUUACUAAAAUAUUUGAUUGAGAUAAUAUCAGAAAGAGAUCCCACCCUCUCAAGAAAUUUGAUAGCAUUACCUUUCAUUAGAGAACACACCCUUACCACAUUUCGGGUGGAAGAUUGAGCACAUUGAUGGAAUGAGUGAGUGGAAGCUCCCAGCAGAUAGCUUCUGUAGAAUGAUGUAGUCCCCUUGCAGCUCUAGAUUCUGCACGAUGGAAAAGAACAUUAAUUAGUUGCUCAUAUUUUCUGUCAUAGUUGAUUAUUAACACAAAAAACACACUCGAGGAGAAAUUAUCAGGCAUAUAAGCAGAUCAUGAACAAUUUAAAUGUUGUUAUUUCCUGCUGCCUUUCUUGAAGACUCACUUGUGGCAAAGAACUUCUUGUCUUGGUAAAAUGGAGGAGCUGAAUGGCUUCUUCUACUCUUUCUUCUUCCUUAUAAGCUCAUCUAUUUUACCUCGAUUUCCAGCAUCAAUCCAUUUGUGCGAGUCCCCAUAUACCCUAGAAGAGAGCAUAGCUCGUGGUGGCAAAUAAUUUUAAGAUUCUCUUCAUCAUGAGAAAGCAUAUGUGUCAAAUCAUAUCUAUCAUAAUAGAAUUCAGAAGGACCUGAACUAUAAACAUCCCAUGGAUCCAGUCCCCUAUACCGGCCAUGCCAGUUUGCCCAAUUACAAGUAAAACUGCAAAACAAAAAAAUUGAAGAACACCCGAAAAAAGAUACUAACAAACACAAACCGUCAAACAACCUAUCAGUUGAGGAACGCAUGCAGCCCUAUAGACUACGACAACCAUUCCAAGUUACGAACAUAAUCGUUGUCAGUCCAAUAUUUUGCAAAAUGAUUACCAUAUCAUUCUCUUCUCAGCAUCUGUCCAUCUCGUGAGACACCAGAUCCUUCAAAAGAAAGUACCAACUUCAGGUGAUGAAGCAAAAUAAUAAAUUGAGCAGAAUUUUAUACAUAUCUAAAUGCAUUUAGAUCAACGUCAAAGAAACUAAUAGAUACCAUUGUCAUCCACCUUAACAAUUCAGGUCCCAAUGUCAACAGCAACAGAUACCUGGUUGAAAAUGGAAACUGUGUUAAAGUUCAACUUAGGAGUACACAAAUUAUAAGAACAACGAACAUAAAAAGAGCAGUCCUACAAGGGGAGUAAAUCUCAUGGAGAAAACAAAGUGCUGUUAUAAGAAUAUUCAUUUGUUAAAAAAAAAUGCUUUGAUACUAGAAUCGAGCAUCAUACUAAGAGGAGAAGAAGUAUAUCAAUUUUCAUAUAAAGCAUAUCCCCUUGUAAUCAGAGGUAGCAAAAAUAGAAACACACGAAUCCAUUGAAGAGCCUCACUGAUCAGUGCCUUUUGUGCAAAUAGUCCAAGCUAUUAAAACUGCAUUAAAGCAUGACUUGCCAUAUUCUCAGCAGCCCACAUCUAUUGAUCCUCUAAACAUUAACAAAAUCAGAAAACAUAAAAAACGCCCACUCUCUUACAUGACACAAUUUACAACUUAUAAGAAACAAUUAAAAUCAGAAAGUCUAGAGCAUGUUCAUUUCAAAGAUGAAAAUAAGUCUAGACCAUGUAAAAGAAAAUGACCACUGAGGGUGUUCUGUCCAAUCGAGUGUCUUCAUUCAAAAUACUACAAAUCAUUUCUUAUAAUUAAACUACUUAUUUUUUAAGAAUUGUAACAGUGGGGCCUUCAACAAGAAAAACUCCACAUUUUCCCAUUCAAUGGCUUCAUAAUUCAGUUAUAAUUAAACCAAAAACAACAACAAGAGUAUCUAUCAUUAUUCAUGACUUCAUAAUUCAAUUAUAUAAAAAGGUUCACCUCUAUGUGACUAUCACUUUUAUCUUUGACAAUGAAAGGAAGGCCAGCAUCUUCAAAUUGCUGCACCAUAUCAGGAUCCACCUACGUAGCACAGGAUAAGUUUUUGCAUACGUCCCUUACUAAAGAAAUCACAUCCUAUGGUCUACAUAUAAUUAUUAAACCAGUCCACCUAGAUGUGCAAUAGUUACACCACAGUUCCAAAUUUAAAGGAAAAAAAGUGUUGAACCUCAUAUAUAUGAUGGUGCCUCUCAUCUGCAAAGCUCCAAUUGCCAAAUUUGAGAAAAGAUAUAAUUAAGCCAGUUGGUAAUAUCAACGGGAAAAAUCCUCCAGAAUGGCUUCACAAACUUAUCAACAAGCAUGCCCAAUGUAUGCAAAAGCAGUCUAUUAAGAAUUUCAAGAAACCAGAGAGAAAAGGCAAAGAACCAUAUCAUUUUAAAAAAUACUUGGUCAGAAAUCAAAAAGUCAAUAAACAAAAGUGUAGAAAGACGACUUAUAACAUCUCUUUAUCCAUCAAUUUAGGGCUCAGUGUAAACACCGAAACCUGACAGUUAUCCUGAAAGUUAGAAUGCACCAACACUUGCAUUCAAUUUGUUAAGGAAACUCAGAUGAAUUCCAAAUCCACUAGACAACAGCGGCAAGGAGAAGGAGAAACACAUGUGCAAAGCAGGUCAUUCUCACUGCAUGCAAAUGAACAAAAUCUAAGGAACUAGACAGGAAAUCCUUAAGUUAGAUGGCGUAUUGAAAACGAACCUUUCAAUAUCAACAAUUUUGAAGGAGACACUGCGAUGCGCAAGGGAGAUUCUUAGCAGAGACUCUAUCGGAGAAUGCAAGACCCUACUUGGACUUCAAGAUUAUACAUGCAGACCAAAAGAUCAAUCAGAUCAGAAUACAGUUUAGAAGUAAAGUAUGUAAAGCAAUAUCUUUUACUUGUUUGAUUUUGAGAAAACUAGAAGAACUUGGAAUGCAUUUGCUUCCUUUGAACUUCUAAGUUGUAAAAUACAUCACGAACAAUUACUGCAAAAAGAGAAACCCUAGAAAUCUCCUUUAAUAGCAGGCAGCAGUUAACUCAAUUAUCAAGUAGGCUUAUACAAAAUCACCUGCUAUACCAACAUCUUGUCUAUAAUCACCAAUUCCAAGGUACAAAACACUUGCCAUCCGGUUAACAAUGGCCAGAUAAGACUUCAAGGACCAGGUUAGUAGUUCUAUACCUAUCCUAGUGUCAACUACUUACUAUAACUCAAAAGAAUUUUACCUUCAAAACCUUACAAUAUCUAUUAGGCCUCCCAUGAGAUUUGGUAACAAUUCCAGAAAAGAAAUAUCAGAAAUAGAGCUCAGAACCAACUAGUCACCACAAGAUAUUCUUGAGAAACACAUCAAAAUAGCUUCAUCAGAUUAACACAAUCAGUAUCAGUGGUGCCAACUAUGAGAGUUAAAUACUGCACAUAACUAUGCUGAAUUGAUUGCAUAUCUACCAUGGAACAAAAAUGAACAAGUGACAUGUUUUUCUUUUUUUUGUGGCGAUUAGUCAAACCAAUCCUAGUGUCAACUACUUACUAUAACUCAAAAGAAUUUUACCUUUAAAACCUUACAAUAUCUAUUAGGCCUCCGAUGAGAUUUGGUAACAAUUCCAGCAAAGAAAUAUGUAGAUAUGGUACAACAAAUUAGGGGCAGGUGAUGACCAGCCCUUUUAACAUAUAGCAUGUCGUUGAAGUCAAUAGGUUCCUAUCCAGUUCAUAGCAGAAUGUCUACAGAAUCAAACAAUGUAAUCAGUUGAAACAAAAUCCAGUAAUCCUAAAAAGUGCAACAGUUCUCAAGUUUGAUCUAGUCCAUGGUCUGCAGUCAAAAACUAACAGAAACCAGAUGCAGUCCUCUGGUUACUUGUGCUCCCACUUCAUCCACUUAUCAAAGAAAUAUAAGAAUUUUGUCACUUCCUCAGAGCCUAUUCUAGCUUUUCCCUAAUCCCCUCGUUCUAAUUAAUGGUAUUUCGUAAAACUUUUGAAACAUUAGUGUAGGUGUUAAAUGUCAAAUGAAUUUUGUUACACCAAAGAAUAGAAAAGAUACUAACUCAGUAACUCCAACAUGAAGGAGUUAAGUUGAUUCAAUCUUCUGACAGAAAGGAUACAUAAAGAAGUACUCAAAUCAAAGUUAGGCUACAAUUUUCCGUUUCUAGACCAUGUAAAGGAAAGGGGCGGUGAGAGGGUUUUAAGUCUACAAUUGAGUGUCUUCAUUCAAAAUACUACAAAUCACAAACUUACUUAUAAUUAAACUACUUUUUUUUUUUAUAUAUACUUGCGCAGUGGGCCUUCAAGAACAAUUUCACGUCUUUUUUCAAUUCCAAUUUUCCAAGAGGGAGCAGGGGAAAUCAGGGAAAAACAAGUUCUUGAACAUCCUUAACAUGCAUUGAAAGGAUGACAACAUAACUUGCUUUUAAAAAAAGCCAACAAAUUCUUGAAAUUUUCUUAAAAGUUUCUUCAAUUCCAACAUGCAAAAUCGAGUUCAUUGGAAGAAUAUCAAGAUAAUGAGUAGAGUACCAAUAGAUAGAUAGAUCAAUUGAUUUAGGGUUAGGGUUUUGAUCGGACAUCGUCACUCGAACCAUCAAGAACACCAACAAGUUCAAUGAACUUUUCUUAAAAAUUAAACGCAAAAUAGAGUUGUUGAAUUCGAAUAUGAAGAAUGCCCAUGAAUCAUGAUAGAUUUCCCGAUGGCCGCCGGUAGCGUAAAAGUUCCGGCGGUCGAAGUAUUGAGUUCUAAAAUGGACACUAGGUUCUCCAUUUUAUAGUUUUAGAACCAGAUAAUACACGCGGCAGAAAAAUAGAACACGGAAAAAUAACUACAAAAUAUAUUACUUUUUUUGUAAACUAUUUUAUUCUAGUAAUUAUUUUUUAUAUUUUUUUGUAAUAGGAAGAAAUUAUUGAUUGAAUGUGAAAUUUGUUCCCUCCUUUCCAUAUUAAAUUAAUAUUUUUAUUUUUUUAAAAUUAAUUUAAUUAUUAAAUUUUCAAGACUAUUUAAAAUAGUUAUUUCAAUUUUAUCUUUUUUAUAUUGAAAGUAGUGGUUAAUUAAUAUUUAAUUAUUUUAAUUAUAAAUUUGAUAAUAAUUAGUACAAUUUACUUCUCCUUUUUCUUAAGAAGAGAAAUUUAAGCGUUUUUUUAAUCGAAAAAAAAAUUACUUUCAUUUAAAAAAAUUUAAAAUAUUUGUCAAAUAUUUAAUUUUUCAAACAAAAAUAUCUUUUUCUAUUAAAAAAAACAUAUUGAGUAUCCCAACAACAAUGUCAAAAAACACUACUAACCCAACUUUUCUUGUUUUCAUUUUUCUGCAAAUAAACUUCAAAAAUAAAUAAAAAUCUUGUCCAAUAAAAGUGUGUAGUAAUUUGUUUAUUGUCCUAAGUGUUUAGAUAAUCAAAAAGAUAUUAAUAAUGUUAUUUCAAAUUUUUUAAAGCGUGUGAAGUCGAUUAUGAGAAACAAUAGUAAAAAAAAGAAAGUAAAAAAAAUGAUACACAUACCAAAUAUCAGCCUAAGUCAAGUAGAAUCCCAUAAUGUUGAGUGUGUGAAACACAGCUAAAGAUAAUCACAAAAUUACAUGCAACACUUUGCAAAUGAACUAAAACGUUCAUAUUCUUUUUAUGUAUUUCUGCAUCAGUAUAAUGUUGUGUUUUUUUUUUUUUAUUUGUCGAGAAAACGUGGAACAACACAAAUAUAUAUAAUGUAAAAGUAAUGGAAAUAAAAUGGAAAAAUAAUAACACUAAGAAUUUUACGUGAAAAUCCUUUUAAAUAAGGGAAAAACCACGGGUCAAAAGAAGCAACUGAUAUUACUAUAGUAAGAAAUUAUAAACUGUGUAGUCACGAAUAUAAUAAUCAAAGUGACUACUAUACACUCAAAAGGAACAACACUAUUUUGGUUUCCACCUUACUAAAAUAUCAAUUACACUCUAUUUUUUCUUCACAGAUUAUUUUUCUUGUAUAGUCUAUGGAAUACCUCACUUUGCUCUCAAAAUGAUUUUUUCUCAAUCACUUGGUAUGUUUUACAACUGAGCAAGAAUGCUAUAUUUAUAGAAGGAGAAAUCAUGUCUAUGUCACUAAUGACAUAGAUAAAUAUAGCAAAGUCAAAAAAGGGUUGCACAUCUUAUCAAUUCGUCAACCAUCAAAUCACAAAAUUUAAAUGUUGAAUAAUACAGAUUGAACAUGAAAGUCUCAUUUCAAAUACAAUUUCAAAGAAUACUCUGCAAAUGAACUAAAACAUUCAUAUUUUUAUGUAUUUCUGCAGCAGUAUAAUGUUAUGUUUUUUUUUUGUUGUAUUGAGGUCUUGAGGAUAACGAAGACUUUAGCUCUUGAGAAGCUCCAAUUCCCCUGUUAUAAAUAAAUGAAAUCAUGCAAAGAAAUUUCUGAAUUCUCAAAAAUCAGUUGGCGGUCUGAAGACGGUAGAACAUGAAGUAUCACAUGGUUUUGCCUUCCAACUCAUUGCCAUAAUACUAUUAAUGCAAACUCUCAUGUGUCCACUUAUAUCAAAACUAUAACAAAAAACUAAUCAAUCAUAUAGAAGAUUCAACUGGUAGAGAGGCAAAAAGUUUCUAUUGCAAUGAAUCGAUUACAUUCAAUGUAUGGAAGUAAUAAAUUUCAUUACUUCAAUUUCUUUUGAAGUAAAAAAAUGUACACUAGUCUAGCUAGUGUUUCUUCUAACUCUCAACUGUACACAGUGGAGUUCCUGGCUUACCACAGCUAUACAAAAUUGUGUGACAAAAUAAAAAUGGGGACUAGUUUCCUUCUCACUUCCUCAAUCGAGAUGUGAGAUCCAUGAACAAAUCCUCACUGCAGGGAAUAGUAACACCGCCCAUUGGAUGUUCGAAGCCGAAUUCAUCCUCGGCUUGACUAAGCAAGUCUUGAAACAAAGGUUCGCUCAAGAAUGAUAUUGGAAUUACAAAUCUCUUUUUCUGCAUCUCUCCAACAUACACAGCAAAAUGGCCCUUGGGAAUAUCUCUAGUUGCGGAAGACUUCUUGAUCAUACGAAGAAUAGCCAUGAUCUCUUAGUUUUAGUAUUGAUGAGAAAAAAAGGACUGUUAAUGGAACUCAAAAGCAGAGAAAGCUUUGAUGUUUGCUGAGUGUUGUGGUGGUAGACACCUCUUUGGAUAAGUUUAUAUAGGAAAUGGCAACUCAUACUGAUGUGAAUUGAAUAGGAAUUUGUGGGCACCAGCAGAAGACAAUAACACUCAAGUAUCACAUGCUCUUGCCUUCCAAAUAUUGAAAACAUUGUGGUAUUAGUUGAAGAACAAUAGGCCCUACCUUUUCUAAAAACUUGGAAAGAAGCAUUAUUCAUUACAUAAUUUCUAAGAAGUGAUGAGAAGUCAUAAACCUCUUGAUAUGUGAUGAAGAGCCAUUUGGAUUGGGCUGCACAUGGUCAUGCCUUCCAACUAGUUGACAUGAUUGAUUCUUUUAGCAUAUAUAAGUUCAAGUAAAAUAGGUCCUACACAUUUAUUUCCUAUACGAAACAAAGGAUCUCUAAGAAUCAAAUCCAUAAAUAUUACUGCUAGUUUAUAAUGAUUUCUAGGAAUAAAACAUACCCCAGAUGCAAACUUUGUAUCCACUUGUAUAAAAGCUAUACGAGAUAAGAAGUCAAAAAUAAGAAAGAUUUCACUGGUUGACAAUAGCACAUGAAGUAUCACAUUGUCUUGUUCCCCAACUCAUUGUCUAAUAUACAUGAUCUUAGCAAUCAAAUUGGUAAAUUUACUGCUCUUGAAUAGCAGCAGACCCCAGUGUUCUGACAAGAUAGCGAACAGACCAUCUGUAAAGAUCAAAUUGAUAAAUUUACAGCAAUAGCUGACAACUUGUAGGAUAACAUUCCCGAUUAGACUAACCUGUGUUAUUUCAAUAGAUUUUGAAAAGUGUUCUCAAAUAGUAGAUAACAGAAAUAUUUAUGGGCUUUCAACAUGUCUGUGUUUGCAAAUCUCCAUAAAUUUAUGAGUCGAUCAAAACCUUACUAUAUAUUGGCAGAAAUUUGAGUCCAUCCAUAUUCGAGAAAAGUAUAAAUAUGAUAUACACAUUUUUAAGAGUUAAUCAAUUUACAUCCAGUUCUAUUGAAUUCAGUCGAACUCAAUACUUUCACAUUGCUGCAGAAUGGCAGAUCUAGUACAUGUUGAGUUAUACUUCAUUGCAUGAUGGACACUACCAUGUGUAUUUUAACUUCAUUUUGAACCACUAAGUAUAAUUCUUACCAAUGGAAUGAGUUGUGGCACUUUAGAAGACUAGAUUCUGACUAAAAACGAGGAGAGUAGAGCAAAAAAAUUCUAUUGCAAUGAAUUUUUUACAUCGAUGCAUGGAAUAGAAGGAAACCAUGUAAGUAAAAAGUUUCAUUACUUCAAUUUCUUUUGAAGUAGAAAAAUGUGUCCUUAGUCUAACUAGUGUUUCUUCUAACUCUCAACUGUACGCAGUUUCUAUCCUGGCUUACUACAACUAUACAAAAUUGUGUAAUUAAAAAAAUGGGGACUCGUUUCCUUCUCACUUCCGCAAUAUAGAAGUGAGAUUGAUGAACAAAUCUUCGCUGCAGGGAAUAGUCACACCACCCAUUGGAUGGUCGAAGCCAAAUUCUUCCUCAGAUUGACUAAGCAAGUCUUGAAAUAAAGGUUCGCUCAAGAAUGAUAUGGGGAUCACAAAUCUCUUUUUCUGCAUCUCCCCAACAUACACAGCAAAAUGGCCCUUGGGAAUAUCUCUGGUUGCGGAAGACUUCUUGAUCAUACGAAGAAUAGCCAUGAU
Molecule: long non-coding RNA, 21025 nt
Filed under: Solanum melongena (eggplant)
Lineage: Eukaryota; Viridiplantae; Streptophyta; Magnoliopsida; Solanales; Solanaceae
Description: long non-coding RNA (SMEL_LNC000049)
Source: RNAcentral